GGCCCAUAGAAGAAUAUGGACAUCCACUGAUCAUCACUCAUCCUGAAUUGUACCAACACAUGUCACAAUAAAAUUGUAUAAGCAUCAUGAUAUAGCGGAUCUCUGUAUUAGGGAAAGCUUACCCUUUAGUUAACCUGAUCAUUGGUUCACACUGUGAAGGGGGGGAGUGUAUGGGUACUGCUGAGUCACGGCCUGAACCUCUGAUUGAUCACCUGAGGCAAGCCAUGAGGCAGCCAGAGGAGCACAGAUGAAGGCAAUUCUCCUGUGCUGCCAGAAGGGGUGGAGCCUGGCUCCAGCCCUCCUAGACCUAUUUAAGAGCUGGCUACCAGUGGGGAAGGAUCUCUUCUGGAGAUUGCCUCUGCUGGUGUUUUGUGAGUGAGCCCAGGAUAGGGUCUCCCUUCAGAUAUUGAAAGGCUGUGAUCUGGUCUCCUUAUAACCCAGCUCCUCUGUUAGUGACACAUGAAGACUUUAAGAGUGGGGGAGUAGCAAACCGGAGGAGAAAAGAUUUUACAGCUAAAGAAACCAUAUGUCAACCUGAAGGAGAGCAUCCAAUCUGUACCUCCGCUGCUGAAUUUCCUUUUGAUGCUACUGGCUUUAAUCUUCAGAUCUAUGUCAGUAGUCAGUAAAAUGUGGAUAUUACCCUUCUACUUGAAAGAUGCUAUGAGGUUUUUAGUGUUUGAAAUCCAUGAGGUUAUUCCAGCACAAGCACCUGAGAAAAGCCCAGAAGGAAAAGAACACAUCCACAUUUAAGAGAGAGCUUAUGAGUCCACAUAUAGGAAGAGUGGGGGGAAAAAAGGAAUAUUUUAGAAGAUUUGAGAAUGAGCACCAGUUGUCCUGUGUGCUGGAUGAAAUGGGACUCCUGUGGAAAAACCAUGACCAAAUUGUAAUCCAUGCAUACAUCUGUGUGUACAUAUAUACUCUGACACAUAUACAUAUAUAGCACUUCAAAAAAAAAAAUCUUCCAGUUUUUGCUCACUCAUGGAAGUUUCUAUCACAGGCACCUAUCACAAGAUAGAACACUGCUUUUCACUUUUGCCCUUAUUUAUUAAAAUAUACUCAUUUUCACCUUCAUUGUGACCUUUUUCCCUUGUUUCUCACUUUCCACAUCUGUACAAUCUGAUGCUCUCUUCCAUCCUCCCAAGACGUAACAUUGCACAGCAACACCAAAACACUGUUGGGAUUGUAUUUCUUUGAGAGACUUUUCUUCAGACUACUACUGCCCUCCUGAGAGGCAUGUGAUUCCCAUUAGAGUCAGUGUAAGCUCUGCUGCAAAGCGACUGCAAUCUGUAUCUCACAAGCUCUCCACCAGACUGUGGGGGCUCUGAUCGUUAAACACUGCCAUUUUAUAUAGUUAGUUGGGAGUGCUAAUUUAUAUGCUUGUAUUUUAACCAGAAUGGAACAGCUUCAGUAUUUUUUUAUUCCUCUUCUGUAGCCAAAAAUAAAGCUUCCUGAUAAGUCUGAGCUAGAAUAUUUUACAUCAUGCAAGUGGCUCCAAGACCAGGAAGUGAGAAGACUCCAAUGAGCCCUUCGUGACUGCUGGCCUGUGAGAAAGGAGGAAGAUGUCAUUUUCUCAGCUAAAUAAAAAUAUCUGAUUGGAAAAA
Long non-coding RNA from Tympanuchus pallidicinctus (lesser prairie-chicken), 1601 nucleotides. RefSeq lists it as uncharacterized. NCBI's taxonomy places the organism in Eukaryota, Metazoa, Chordata, Aves, Galliformes, Phasianidae. The record is from RefSeq and is a predicted model, not a curated record. The transcript has 2 exons.